GCCUGGCUGGCUCAGUCAGUAGAGCAUGAGACUCUUGAUCUCUGGGUUGUAAGUUCGAGCCCCAUGUUGGGUA
This 73-nucleotide transfer RNA is filed under the name Ailuropoda melanoleuca (giant panda). It matches the Rfam family "tRNA". Rfam says of the family: Transfer RNA (tRNA) molecules are approximately 80 nucleotides in length. Lineage: Eukaryota; Metazoa; Chordata; Mammalia; Carnivora; Ursidae. The record is from Rfam by way of RNAcentral.